CUAGCCUAAACGAGCAAAACGAAUUUUAGUUUGAACCCCCGAAACUAAGCGAGCUACUUCGAAAUGUUUCAAGAACAAGCCCGUCUCUGUCGCAAUAGAGUGGGACAAUUUCCAAGUAGCGGCGACAAACCUACCGCGCUUAAAGAUAGCUGGUUAUUCAAGAACAGAAUAUAAGUUCUACCUUAAGCUUUGUUAUUACAAAAGAAAACCUUAAAACUUAAGAGCUAUUCAAAUAAGGCACAGCUUAUUUGAAACAGGACACAACCUCUAAAAUCGGGUAAAAUCUUAAAGCAAAUAACAAGUGGGCCUAAAAGCAGCCAUCUACCAAAAAGCGUCAAAGCUUAAUUUUUGUUUACCUCAAUCCCCUAACACACCUUCAACCCACUACCUGUACUGAAUAACUCCAUACGUCUAUGGAAACUAUAAUGCUAGAACUAGUAACAAGAAAACCUUCUCCAAAAUGUAAGUCUAAGCCACAAUAGACAAACUACCGGCAAUUAACGUAAAUGAUACCUAUAUAGUACCUCAACAAGAAUACCCUAUAAACUCUAACGUCAACCUUACACUAGCACAUUAACGGAAAGAUUAAAAGAAAAAGAAGGAACUCGGCAAAACUUAACCCCGCCUGUUUAC
RNAcentral lists this ribosomal RNA (633 nucleotides) under Gephyromantis redimitus. Its description in RNAcentral is "partial 16S ribosomal RNA". Lineage: Eukaryota; Metazoa; Chordata; Amphibia; Anura; Mantellidae. The record is from RNAcentral.